UCGGUCUGGGGAACGGCUUCUGUGUGGCUGGACCCGCCCAGCAGUGGGUGCAGCCUGGUACCAGACAGCCCCACCCUGACCUAGAGCAAAUGCUCGGGGCGCUCCCCUGGGCUUGAAACUUGCAGUAACAGGUGUGAACAUUCUAGUAGUAGUUUGAUGAUCAUGUAUGCUACUGCAAACAGGA
This is a small nucleolar RNA of Echinops telfairi (small Madagascar hedgehog), 184 nucleotides long. The record is from Ensembl. NCBI's taxonomy places the organism in Eukaryota, Metazoa, Chordata, Mammalia, Afrosoricida, Tenrecidae.